AGAGUUUGAUCCUGGCUCAGGAUGAACGCUAGCGGCAGGCCUAAUACAUGCAAGUCGAACGGGAGUAGCAAUACUCUAGUGGCGCACGGGUGCGUAACGCGUAUGCAACCUACCUUUCAGUGGGGGAUAGCCCGGGGAAACCCGGAUUAAUACCGCAUAAGAUAGUUGAAUGGCAUCAUUUAAUUAUGAAACAUUUAUGGCUGAAAGAUGGGCAUGCGUUAGAUUAGCUAGUUGGUGAGGUAGAGGCUCACCAAGGCUAUGAUCUAUAGGGGUUCUGAGAGGAAGAUCCCCCACACUGGUACUGAGACAGGGACCAGACUCCUACGGGAGGCAGCAGUAGGGAAUAUUGGGCAAUGGAGGCAACUCUGACCCAGCCAUGCCGCGUGCAGGAAGAAGGCCUUCUGGGUUGUAAACUGCUUUUGGAAGGGAACAAAAAGGCGCUGCGGCGCAACUUGAGUGUACCUUCAGAAUAAGCACCGGCUAACUCCGUGCCAGCAGCCGCGGUAAUACGGAGGGUGCAAGCGUUGUCCGGAUUUAUUGGGUUUAAAGGGUGCGUAGGCGGCUUAUUAAGUCAGGGGUGAAAGACUGCAGCUCAACUGUAGCAGUGCCUUUGAUACUGAUGAGCUUGAGUACAGAUGGGGCAGGCGGAAUGGGUGGUGUAGCGGUGAAAUGCAUAGAUACCAUCCAGAACACCGAUUGCGAAGGCAGCCUGCUAAACUGUAACUGACGCUGAGGCACGAAAGCGUGGGGAUCGAACAGGAUUAGAUACCCUAGUAGUCC
Molecule: ribosomal RNA, 780 nt
Filed under: uncultured bacterium
Lineage: Bacteria
Description: bacterial SSU rRNA
Rfam family: Bacterial small subunit ribosomal RNA
Source: RNAcentral